Molecule: long non-coding RNA, 8494 nt
Filed under: Canis lupus familiaris (dog)
Lineage: Eukaryota; Metazoa; Chordata; Mammalia; Carnivora; Canidae
Description: lncRNA (ENSCAFG00000051641.1)
Source: RNAcentral
UUUUUUUUUUUUUUUUAAGGUAUCCUGUGGAGUGAACCUGCAACUGGUUUCAUGAAUGGAGUUGCUGGAGUCAAACUGUCAGAUAUGAAUGUUGGUCCUACCACCUACUUUGGGCAAGUAUUUUUUCCCUAUCUGCAAAAUGGAAACUAUCAAGUGGUUAUGAUCAAUAAUUUAAAAUGCAGGGCAUCCCUGGGUGGCUCAGCGGUUUAGCACCUGCCUUUGGCCCAGGGCGUGAUCCUGGAGUCCCGAGAUCAAGUCCCACGUUGGGCUCCUGGCAUGGAGCCUGCUUCUCGCUCCUCCUGUGUCUCUGCCUCUCUCUCUCUCUCUCUAUCAUCUCUCUCUCUCUCUCUCUAUCAUGAAUGAAUGAAUGAAUGAAUGAGUAAAUAAAUAAAUAAAUAAAUAAAUAAAUAAAUCUUUUAAAAAACUUAAAAUGCAAGUGCAUGGUAUAGUGCCCAGUGCAUAAAAUACUUGAUAAAUAGUGUUUGUAGGCCAUUUUGCCAGAGUGAAGGGAGUUUGUAGGCUCAUGUAGGCUCAAUACGGUAGACUAUUAUUAAAUAGGGAUAAAAUUUCUCUUGGACAUCUUAAUAUUAGUGCAUAGAAGUAGCCCGCAGGGAGGCAGUGUGGUACAGGUUCUAUAUGAAGCUGUAUGUCAGCUAGCACCAGAUCAUCUGUGGAACUUGAAGCAAAAAUCAUUCCUUAAGCUCCAUGACCAGAGUUUCUAAUUUGGAGUGGGACCUAGCAUUGGAAAUUAUUUUGAAGUACAGAAUGGGCAGUCUGUGAGUAGAGAAGUGUUGCCUACCUGAUACUGCUCUGACCUCCAGAGUUUGUGAGUGCGAUCUGUGUGUGCAUCUACACAUCUUUGCAGCAUACUGCCAACCCACACUGUUUUCAGAUUUAACACUUGUGUUUCAGCAUGGGUUCUGGAUGAUAUAUGAUAAUCAACCUUUGCAGUUUUCCUGAAGCAGAGUUAAGUUGAAAUGCAAGUAUGGUGAGCCUCAUAUAGGGCUUAGUCACUUACCUAAUUUUCUGACUCUCUAGUAACAUGAAAUUAAGCCUUAGAUGGCUCAGGGUCCCAUCAUAAAACAAAUAUUCAGUCAAAAGAAAUGGAAAAAUGUUGGUGUUGAAAAGGUUAGUAGCAAAAUGGAUAAAGGUAAAGUUACUGAAGGAUUGAUCAGUAAUUGUAGGGAAACCAUUAACACCAUAUUCAGUGAUCCCAUCAGUCAUUCUGUCCAUUUCUAGGUGAUUCUUUUUUUUUUAAUAAAUUAAUUUUUUAUUGGUGUUCAAUUUACCAACAUACAGAGUAACACCCGGUGCUCAUCCCGUCAAGUGCCCCCCUCAGUGCCUGUCACCCAUUCACCCCCACCCCCCGCCCUCUUCCCCUUCCACCACCCCUAGUUCGUUUCCCAGAGUUAGGAGUCUUUAUGUUCUGUCUCCCUUUCUGAUAUUUCCCACACAUUUCUUCUUCUAAUGUCUCUCCAGUUCACUUAACAAUCUCACCUGGAUACUGUGUGUGUGAACAUGAAUAUAGAAAAAUUGGUUUAUAUCUACAAAUAUAUAAAGCAAGGAGAAGGGCCCCUGGCCGGCUCAGUUGGUGGAGCAUGCAGCUCAUGAUCUCAGGGUGUGAGUUUGAGCCCCAUGUGGGGUGUAGAGAUUACUAAGAAAUAAAAUAUUAAAAAAAAAACCCUCUUAAGAAGAGAGUAAUACCAUCUAAAAUAGGCAGUGAAUAACAUAUACUUAGCUGCUACAGUUCUUGUCUCUGUACCAGCUCACAAGCUAUGGGUGAUAAUGUACAACUUAUUUCCUUAUUUCUCAUUCCAUGUUCUUUUGCCCUGUACCUUCAUUCUCGAGGGGUCUGAAUCCUUAAUAGUCCUGAGGUUAUUGCAACUUUUGUCUUUAAUUAGCUUCCCCCCCAUCCCAAGUUCAGGUUUUCUUAUUAAUGAAAAAUUUCAAACCUACAUAGAAGUAGACUAGUGUUAGGAGUGUCUAGGAAGUCCCAUGAUCUGAGUGCCAGCAGAUUCUGUCUAGUAAAGGGCCCUCUUCCUGGUUUGCAGACAGGCAUCUUGCUAUGUCCUUGGGUGGCAGAGAGCUCAUGUCUCUCUUUAUCCACCUUUUGACAUUUAUUUAUAAAGAAUUUAUUUUUAAAUUAAGAUUUUUAUUUUAUUUCCAGUAUAGCUAACAUGCAGUGUUAUAUUAGUUUGAGGUGUACAAUAUAGUGAUUCUGCCAUUCUAUACAUUACUCAGUACUCAUCAGAAUCAGUGUACUCUUAAUCCCCUUUACCUAUGUUCACCCAUUGUCCCCCACCCCCGCCCCAGCUCCCUCUGGUAACCAUCAGUUUGUUUUCUCUAGUUGAGUCUGUUUCUUAGUUUGUCUCUCUAUUUUUCAUUUGCUCAUUUGUUUUGUUUCUUAAAUUCUACGUGUGAGAGAAAUCAUAUGUAUUUGGUUUCACUUAGCAUUAUACUCUAGCUCCAUCCACGUGGUUGCAAAUGGCAAGGUUUCAUUCUUUUUUUAUGGCUGAGUACUAUUCCAUGGUGUGUGUGUGUGUGUGAGAGAGAGACAUCUUUAUCCAUUCAUCUUUUAAUGGACAUGGGCUGCUUUCAUAAUUUGGCUAUCGAAGACAAUGCUGCUGUAAACGGGUGCAUAUAUCCCUUUGAAUUACCGUUUUUGUAUUCUUUGGGUAAAUACCCAGUAGUGUGAUUACUAGAUCAUAGGGAGGUUCUAGUUUUAAUUUUUUGAUGAACCUGCACAUUUUUCCACAGUGGCUGCACCAGUUCCAUCCUCACCAACAGUGCAAAAGAGUUCCCCUUUCUCCACAUCCUCACCAACACCUGUUGUUUCUUGUGUUGUUGAUUCUAGCCAUUCUGACACAUGUGAGGUAAUAUCUCAUUGUGGUUUUGAUUUGCCUUUCCCUGAUAAUGAGUGAUUUUGAGCAUCUUUUCUUGUGUCUUUUGGCCAUCUGGAUGUCUUCUUUAGAGAAAUGUUCAUUCAUGUCUUUGUUGAGUUGUAUCAGUUCUUUAUACAUAUUGGAUACUAAUCCUUUAUCUUUCAAUCUUUUAAAGAUCAUCUUUCCCUUUGUCAGGGCCCUACUCUCAUGACCUAAUUUUUUUUUUAAGAUUUUAUUUAUUUAUUCAUAAGAGAUACAGAGAAAGAGGCAGAGACCGGCAGAGGGAGAAGCAGGCUCCCUGCAGGGAGCCCAAUGUGGGACUUGAUGGGAGAGUUCUGGGAUCAAGCCCUGAGCCAAAGGCAAAUGCUCAACCGCUGAGCCACCCAGGCGUCCCCCCUCAUGACCGAAUCUAACCCUAAUCACCCCCAAAGGCCCCAUUUCCAAGCACCAUCACUAGGCUUCAACAUAAGAAUUUGGGGGGACACAAACAGUUACAGCAACUGGUAUUAACAAACUCCUACCUAACAUAAUCCAGCUUCAACAAUUGACAUUUUACCAAUUUUGUUUUAUUUCACAUUUUUAUUUUUUUUUAAAGGUAGGGAGGGGCAGAGUGAGAGGGAGAGAAAAUCUUAAGCAGGCUCCAUGCCCAGUGUGGACCCCGACAAUGGGAAUCAGUCCCACAACCCUGAGAUCAUAACCUGAGCUGAAAUCAAGAGUUGGACACUUAGCUGACUGAACUAUCCAGGUGCCCCCUUCUUAGACUAUUUUAAGACAAAUUCUAGAUAUGUCACAUAUUUUAAUGUGUGCGGUAACAGAUAAGGAUGCCUUUUUUUUUUUUUAAGUUUUGUUUAAGCUCUCCACCCAACAUGCGGCUCGAACUCACAACCCUGAGAUUGAGAGACACAUGCUCUUCUGACUGAGCCAGCCAGGCACCCUAAUGAGUAUGCCUUUGAAAAAAGAAAAGAACAGGGAUGCCUGGGUGGCUCAGCGGUUUGGCGUCUGCCUUCAGCUCAGGGCAUGAUCCUGGAGUGCCAGGAUCGAGUCCCACAUUGGGCUCCCAGCAUGGGGCCUGCUUCUCCCUCUGCCUGUGUCUCUGCCUCUGUGUGUCUCUUGUGAAUAAAUAAGUGAAAUCUUUUUUUUUUAAUAAGUAAAAUCUUUAAAAAAAAAAAGACUAUAUGCGAGUAUCACAUUAACCAUGUUGAUAAUUAAUAUCUAAACCCAGUCCAUAUAUCAUUUUCUCAUAUUGUCCUAAAGGUGUCUUUUUUAAAAGUUUGAACCAAAAUCAAAAUGAAGUUCAUUUGGUGCAAUCCAGUUCCUCCUCAAAAAUGAAAUUGAAAAAAUGGAAUCAUUUAUCCAUGGAACAUCCUAUAUUGGAUUCGGCAAGGAGCAUCCUUUAUAGUAUCAAUUAACUCCUCUCUCACAUUUUCUGUAUAUUAGGAGUCAGAUCUAGAGGCUUGACUAUAUUCAGAUUCUCCCUUUCCCUUCAAGGAAUACUUCAUUGCUGGCAUGGUGUACAUCCUGUUGCAUCCCAUCAGUCAUGUCAGCAAGUGGUUUUGUCUGGCUGUCCCAUAUUUUCCUUAUGUCAAAAUUCAUCAGUCCGUCCCAUGGCUGUAGAGUUGACUCACCCAUUAUAACCGGUCUGUUGUUGACCAUUCAUGUAGCAGUUUUAACAUUCCUCAAUGGUAUAACCGUCUGUUAUAUAUAACCGGUCUGUUGUUGACCAUUCAUGUAGCAGUUUUAACAUUCCUCAAUGGUCAUUGUCUAGGUCCUAUUAUUGCAUCAUUUGUUAUUGAAAAAUAGUGACCCUUGGGAGGAAAGGGAGACCUUAUUUUGAGUAAUUCAAGACUUAGAACUUGGAAGAAGAGUGGAAAGAACUCCAACGUGAUUUUCACUCCCAACUGCUAACGUCUUACCGUAUCUGCUUUAUCAGUUUUUCAGGAUAAUCAGUUUUUCUUAAUGAUGACUCUCUGUAUUUAUUUAUGAACCAUUUGGAAGCAAGCUGCAGACAUGUCCCUUACCCCUAAACAUUUCAGGGCGUUUCCUUGAAACAAGGACAUUUUCUUACAUAACCACAGUGUAAUUAUUAAAAUUAGGAAAUAAAUUAUAUAAUGCUAUUAAUUAAUAUUUAGGUUUCAUUCAUAUUUCACCAAUUGCUCUGCUAAUAUCUUUUAUAAGGAGAAAACAAAAAGGUGCAGUACGCUAUCCAUGAUCACUUUCUGUAUUUAGUCGGCAUGUUCUUGAGUCUUCUCUAACCUGGAAUGGUUCCUCUGUCUGUCUUUGUCUUAUCUGGACAUUUAAGGAUGUAGGACAAUUGUUUUGUUGAAUGCCCCAAUUUGUGUUUGGUGUUUUCUCAGGAUUUGGUUGAGAUUAUGCAAUUGGGCAGGAAUAAUACAGAAAUGAUGUUACGUCCUCAACGCAUCAUAACAUAUGAUGAUGUUGGUUUGAACCAUUACUGGUGAUGUUAAUUCUAAUCCCUUGAUUAAGGUGGUGUCUGCCUGGUUUCUCCACUGAAAGGAUUUUUUUAUGGGAGAUACUAUGAGACUUUGUAAAUAUUCGAUUCCUCAUCAAACUUUUAAAAAAAGAAUUUAUUUAUUUAUUUAUUUAUUUAUUUAUUUAUUUAUUUAUUUAUUUAUUUAUUUAAGAGAGAGCAUGCUCAUGAGAAAGGAGGAGGAGCAGAGGGAGAGGGAGAAGCAGGCUCUCAGCUGAGCAGGGAGCCCAAUGUUCAAUCCCAGGACUUGAGCUAAAGGCAGACACUUAGCCUACUGAGCUACCCAGGCACCCCUCCUCAUCAAACUUUUAUUCACUAGUUUAAGCAGCCAUUGAUUCUUGCUUGAACAAUGAAUACUUGCCAUACUUUCCUUUUAUACUUAUUAGCACUCUGUUACAAGGAAGAGCUUUUCAUGCACACACGCACGUGUGUGCACACACCCAUGCAUGCCUGUGCAUACACUAUAGGUUAGAAUCUGAUAGUAUUUUUCAUGCAUAGAUUGUUCAUUUGGUGCCCCUCCAACUUGGCUCUCCCUCAUUUUUUGAGCACUUCUUUCUUCAUGAGAUAUUCUAGACUCAUCAUCUACUUUUCCUUUCCCAUAUUUGGAAUUAGCCAUUUUUCUAAAUCUGUUGCUUCUGUAAGGAAGCCUGAAGAUUUAUGAGUGGAAGAGUCUCAAAUUUGUUUGAGUCUACCCAAACAUCCCCAUUCCAAAUCUCAAGGUCUCACUCCUGUCCAAUCAGUGCUAUAGGUUUCACCUGAGAAAAUUGACACAGCUGUGAAUUCAAGACUGUAGUUCUGCAAUUCACACAGAUUUGGGGCCUGAUCUGUAGCCAGUUAUGCCCUGUAUCCACAAGAAAUAAGGUUUUAAAAAAGAUUUUAUUUAUUCAUGAGAGACAGAGAGGCAGAGACAUAGGCAGAGGGAGAAGCAGGCUCCCUGUGAGGAGUCUGUAGGACUCAGUCUCAGGACCUCAGGAUAAUGACCUGAGCCAAAGGGAGAUUCUCAAACACUGAGCCACCCAGGUGCCCUGAAAAAAAGAUAUUUUUUAAAGGCUGUCACAAAAGGGCUCUAGUUCUUUGAUCAUGACUUGGCUUUCAAAUUUAAAGCCUGAACUUGUCAUUUUCUGUGAACACCCACUACAGUAAAACAAGUAGCCAAUUCAUUUCACUGUCCUAUUGAUCAUAUCAUCAUCACCUCUAUAAACAUCAAGUACAGUAUCUACUUGAUCUUUUAAGCCUUGUCUUCAGUAGGCACUUCAUGCAAAACAACCACAUGAGUCUUAACAUAUGGCAUGCCACAUGUUACCAGAUCAGAUUUUCUACUGGCAAUCAGGUCUUCUGUGCAUUCAAACUCAAACAUGGUGGCAAGCCAAACUCAGAAACACAUCUUUGAGGGCCUGUUUCUCAGGAUCAUUCCAGGUGCAAAGCUCUGUAUUAGGGUCUGACUUGGAAACAGGAUUCACUCUAGGUAUUUCAGACAGAAGAGAUUUAAUGCAGGGAUAUAUUUUAAGGAUGUCUAAAGGACUGAAGGAGUAGAAAAGGGAAAAGGGAAGGGAAGUUUACUUAUAAGUUGACAACUGCACCUAGACAACCGACAUCAGCCAGGGCUAAAGAAAGAUUCCUCAGAGGCCACAGCACUUUUAACUAAUGCUCCUGGAAUUGGAUUUCAGCUGCCUAGCAAGGACCCAGAACCUGUACUUCCAACUUUAUGUGGCUGCCCCCAAAGCCACCAUCACCUAACCUGAGUCCCUGAUGUUCUUAGAGCUGUCAGAGAGUGUCACUUCUCCCAUCCCACCUUGUAUCUCACAAGUGCCUCCCAUUAGCAGGUGCUAACAGGAAGUCAGCUAGAAAGGAAGUUUCAAGUGUCCUUGAAAACUGUCAUUUUGAAACUGUAGUUAUCUGACUACAUUAUGCUGCUUCAUUACAUUGCAGGGCACAAAAAGUUGAGGAUGGGAGCCUGGGGAGUAAUAAGGCAACAUACAUGAAUAAGCAAGUGAGAAGAUGCUCAAUGUUAACUCCAUCCCAGAAAUCCCAAUGGAUUGAAUCCAAAUACUGAGUUCCUGUUGCAUGCUGGGCAUGGUGGUGCUAGGUUCUAGAGAUGCAUUGGUGAACAAAAUACAGCCCUUGCCAUCCUGGGAUUUAUAGUCACAUAGUGGGGAUAGGCAAACUAUAAACACUUCAUCUAAUGGCAAUAUUACCUCUAUCUGACAAAAGAUUUUUAUUUUGGAUACACACACAACCCAAACAAAAAUAAAUGUAAAAAGAUAGACUACUCUAAUAAAUGGCAAUGAAAAUUGAACAGACCAUUCACAAAAGAGGAUACUCCUUUGGUCGCUGAAUAUGAAAAGGUGCUCAACUGUGUUAGUCAUGGAAAUGCAACCACAAUGAGGCACCAUUAAAUACCUAUCAAAAUGACUAGAAAAUGAAAGACUGGCAUUGCCAGGUAUGGGUGAGGAUGUGGAGCCACUGCUUACAGUACUCAUAAGAGUAUAAACUGGAACACUUUGGAAUAGUGCUCAGCAACAUCUGCAGAAGCUAAACACUACCUACCCUCCGACCUAGCAACUCUGUCAUUAGGUUUAUAACCAAGAGAAGUUAGCGUGUAUUUUCACCAAAAGACAUGUACAAGCAUAUUUAUAAGAGCUGUAUUCAUAGAAGUUCAGACCUGGAAAUAACCCAAAUAGACACAGGUAAAUGGCAAAAUGGAUAGAAGCAUGGUUAAGUUGUGACAUAUUCAUAUAACCGAAUACUACUACUAUUCAAUAAAAACAAAAAAGCUGCUACAUGCAGCAAUGUAGAUGAAUCUCACAGAAUCUCGGACAACAACAAAAAAGCCAGUGAAACAAGUUCAUGUCCUAUGAUUCCAUUUAUUUGAAGUUCAGGAAUAGACAAAACUCAACUAUAGUGACAGAAGACAGAAUUGUGCUUUGGAGGUACUGAUGGGUGGACACAGGAAGGAUGCUACUGAUGUGCUGGAAAUGUUCGAUAUUGAUUAGGCUGUUUGCCCUGGUGUAUACAUUCAUAAAAGUUCCUCAAACUGUAAACAUAAGAACAUAAGAUUUGUGCAUUUCACAGUAUAUAUGUUAUUCCUCAGAAAAUUCACCAAAAAAAAAAAAAAAAAAAAAAA